UUUUGGUUAAGUGCUUAAGAUUUUUGUAUACCAAUAAAUUAUGGUCCUGUUAAAUUUUUCACUUUUAUUUAUUUACAUGAAUUGUUUUACAAGUAUAAAGUUAUUGAUAAAACUAUUAUUUAUUAAUAUAUUACGGUCUUUUGAAGAUAAUGAGAGAUCUAUGCCAGACCUCAAGUUAUUUUUCUUUAGAACUUUAUUGGAUUGGUUGUCAGCUUUGCGAAACCAAUCAUUUUCUUCUUUUCUUGAUUUUCUUGAUUUAUGUAAUUUUUGUACUUGAUUUGUUGACCCCUGUACACUUCCAGUGUACUAGGGUGUCCUUUUUUUGAUAUCAAUAAAUCCUGUUACUUAUAAAAAAAAAAAAUCUGUUAUUGUUAAAAAUGAUCCUUUAUUAAAAAUAUAUGUUAUUGUUAAAAAUGAUCCUUUAUUUGCACUGUUUUAUUUAUUUAUUUUUGAAGUUGAUUUAUUUGUAGUAAAUAAAUAAUAAAAAUUUGAUUGCUACUAAUAAAUUAUGCCCUAAAGUAUACCUAAACUAAUUAUUAAUUAAUCAAAUAAUUAAUUACUGUGUUCUUGUUUUUCAAGAAUUAUCGUGUCUCGUGCUCAUGUCCGUCCAUGCUACCAUCCUGAAUUGUUCCUCGUAUAAUAGUGUUUAGAUUCAGUUUAAGGUUUUGAGGCAUUUAUAUUUGGAGAAGCAGUUGCAAGCUAAAUGAUUCUAAUAUUUUAUGAUUUUAGAAAAUUAGUUGAAAUGUAACUCUGUAUUCAUUUCAAGGUCCAUAGCCAACCAUAAGUAUUGGCUUGUUGUAUGCGUUUCAGGGGCCAAAGAAGCUACACUUUUGAGUAUAUUUUUGUGAAAACUGAAACUUUCAUUUUAUAAACGAACAUCAUGUAGAGUUUGUAGAUCGAAUCCAUUUUGAGCCUGUUGGGGUCAAUUUGUAAAUUUCAUGUAGCAGUGGUUUGGAGAGGGAAACUUCCUGGCUGAGAAGGAUACUUUUUGUCAGGUUUGGUCAAACUUUUAACUUGUAUGAAAGAAAAAGAUUAGAAGACUCACCAAGUUAUAACUUAUAUAUUUAUAUGAAUGCUUGCAGUGGUAAGGGCAAAUUUGCAAUAGUAAGGGCAAAUUUGGUGCAUUUUAAAUCCCUGGGAGAGCUAGGUAUCAGAAUUUGUAGCAUACUAUGGAUUUUCAAGGGUGCAGCAGUAUGCAAAUAGGGUUGGGGAAAAAAAAAGUUGUGUUGCCAUUCUUUUUUGUAGAAUUUGCAACAUUUGGAGAUUAAUGGCCUCUUGGAUUUAACUUUUUAUCUGAUCCCCCAAACUUAGUGAGAAAAGUGAGUGGGUAAGGAGGAGAUGGGGAUCAUGUGAUGAAUGACGAACUGUGAUCUUAGUUUUCAGUUGCUUGUUGGUGUAAACCAUGCCUCCCUGUUGUUGACACAGGUGUGAAGUAUGACUAAUCAAAAAGACAUGGGUGUAAAGUAUGAACUUUUAUGAGCAAAAUUUAUGAAUGCUUAUUUUUGGCUGAAGUGGAAUUAUUCUGCCUAUUAUUCAUGAAUGCUUAUCUUUCUCUCUAAUGGGAAAGGAAGUGGAAUUAUUCUGCCUAUUUUUGGCUGAAGUGAGGUGCAUAGAUAACUUCAUGUUUCACCUUAUGAAAUAGGAAUUACAGAAGUGAAGUUUUGAGAGUUAAUUCUGUUUAUCAGUAAGUUUCUGAUAUUCUUGAUUAUUGCAGUUAUUUACGUGGUUCCAUGUAAGGAGACAAUGAAUUCCCAUUGAGAACUGAAUAGGAGAUGAAAUUGAAGUUUUGAGAGAGAACUUCUUAUUGGUAAGAUUUUGAGAAAUGUUGGUCAUUGCAGUAUUUAUGUGGUUGCGGAUGAACCUGUAAGAAUUAGACAUUUGGUAGGUAAUCAGAAACAGUUUCAUUUCAUACAAUAAUUGUGGUGGGAUUCAUCGGUAGAUCAUCUGUGUAUCAUUGGGAUGACAGUCACUAGUGGUGCUAAUAGAAGUGUCAAGUAUUUACGAUGGCUCACGCACGCUCUGAAAUGAGAGCGUUUUAUGUCAUGCAACAGCUGCUAUGGCUUCGGGCUUGUGCGAUAUAGGAAUAGGAUAUAUAAUCAUUCUAUUCAAAGCUACGAUGAUUUGAGUCCAUUUAAGCCACGUCCACAUUUUUAUUAAUUCAUAAUUAAACUAAAAUAUUUUUUUCC
Molecule: long non-coding RNA, 2186 nt
Organism: Quercus robur (English oak)
Lineage: Eukaryota; Viridiplantae; Streptophyta; Magnoliopsida; Fagales; Fagaceae
Exons: 2
Source: RefSeq, a predicted model, not a curated record